This is a long non-coding RNA of Pseudopipra pipra, 185 nucleotides long. RefSeq lists it as uncharacterized. The transcript is spliced from 3 exons. NCBI's taxonomy places the organism in Eukaryota, Metazoa, Chordata, Aves, Passeriformes, Pipridae. The record is from RefSeq and is a predicted model, not a curated record.
CAGGAACUGCAGGACCUCCUGGAAGAAGACGCGCAAGACUUUGCAAGUGAGAACAGCGGAUUGGAAGGCACUGUCCAGCAGCCAAGCGAGAGCGUUGAAGCCCUUCCGAGAGCCCUGCAAGCCUCUGCCUCAGGUGGUGAACUUUCCCAGCAGCUGGACAUGGAGCCUGGAACAGGCAUGCAGCU